This 301-nucleotide ribosomal RNA is filed under the name uncultured bacterium. RNAcentral's name for it is "partial 16S ribosomal RNA". It matches the Rfam family "Bacterial small subunit ribosomal RNA", at positions 509 to 809 of the family's 1533-position model. The record is from RNAcentral.
CAGUCGCCGCGGUAAUACAGAGGAUGCAAGCGUUAUCCGGAAUGAUUGGGUGUAAAGCGUCUGUAGGUGGCUUUUCAAGUCCGCCGUCAAAUCCCAAGGCUCAACCCUGGACAGGCGGUGGAAACUACCAAGCUGGAGUACAGUAGGGGCAGAGGGAAUUUCCGGUGGAGUGGUGAAAUGCGUUGAGAUCGGAAAGAACACCAACGGCGAAAGCACUCUGCUAGGCCGACAUUGACACUGAGAGAUGACAGCUAGGGGAGCAAAUGGGAUUAGAUACCCCAGUAGUCCCUGUCUCUUAUAA